Long non-coding RNA from Eriocheir sinensis (Chinese mitten crab), 4058 nucleotides. RefSeq lists it as uncharacterized. The record is from RefSeq and is a predicted model, not a curated record. The transcript is spliced from 3 exons. NCBI's taxonomy places the organism in Eukaryota, Metazoa, Arthropoda, Malacostraca, Decapoda, Varunidae.
UCAAAGCAGAGGAGACACAACAAUUGUGGUGCAGAGUACACAGAGGUGGAUUCAUUAAGAUGUAACCACAGACAGACUUCAUGGCUACAACAUGGAAGGCAUCUACAGGAGAAAUCAAUGUCCAAUAGAGAUCUAGCCCAACCAAUAUAUCAAUGGGAGAAUCAUGGUGGUAGUCAUCGUCAACCUGAGGAAAGGAAUCCAGCCCUGAAUAUGGCCUAGCCAAGGGCUGGUAGGGCAGCAAUGACACCACUUCCCUGUCCCACAACUUUAACUCAAAGACAUUUUCCACCACUGUGACCACCACAACCAGAGUAUGGCCUACUCCACUGUGGCUUACACUUCUUCACAAAGCUGGUACUAACAUGUCUGCACCAUUACCACCUGAGCACUGACAACAGUGCCAUCAAUCCCAGUACUCCACCAUAACAAUUUCCUGACACAGAAACAGAGUUUUCUUGCUUGGAGGAAGCAUGGAGUACACCCUGUCUUUAGAACCAGUACUCUUAUUUUCACUUGUCUGUUCUUCACUACUACUACUCUUCUUUCCCUUAAAGACCUUUCUAAUCUUGUCUAAGAAUGUCAGUCUAAGUCCUGUCCAUCACCUUCCCUGGCCCAUAGUUCACGAGAGCGGGUGAUCAGAAACACCUCGCACUGUGACGCCUCCAAACUGUGUUAGAAUGUCAUCGCGUAAUUUGUGCCGCGCCCUUCGCUCCACCGACGUUGAUGUUGACAGGACCAUUCAGCAGUGCCUGCAAAGAUAAUCCUCUCUGGCUUGUAGCAGGUUACAGGCAACAGGGCACUGGUAUGAGCUUCACUACACUCCUGGCAUCUCCCUCCCGCCGGCAAUGACAGCAAGUAGGUGAACUUAGUGGAAGGUCUGUUGCAUCGGAACAGGAAUAUUGAUCCCAGGAGGACUGCCACUGGCUCACUUCACCAGUAAACUUUGCCAAUUCCAACUUGACAUUGGUGAUUCUUGAGAUAAAGACUUAUAGCAGUACCAGCUGCUGCUAACUCCCUUAUCUUGGUAGUAUCUGCACACCUUUGCCUCUAAAUUCAGGUCCAAAAGUUGGUCUAGUUCUUCUUCAGGUACUUCAACUCUAUUGCUUCUUGCACUUCAUCUAACUUGGCCAGUCUUUUGUGGCAUUCCUUGUACUCACCUUGAGUGGUGGUGGUGGUGGUGGUGGCAGCCUCCAGACUGUCACUCAGCGCCCAGCCUCGUCCUUGUCUUCUUCAGCUUCUUAUCUUAUCUUAUGUCUAUCUUGAGUUAUCUUGCAUUUUCUUAACCUUUUUUCGAUUUUUUUUAGUUUGAAUUAUCGUGUGUGUGAGAUUUGAAUGCUUAUAACUCUGGAUUUGUUUAAGUUAGAGUUCUGUUUAUUUGUGUGUGUAGAGGAAGGCUUUCUCUAUCUUUCUGUGUUUUGGGUCUUGGUCUAUCUUAUGUCUAUCUUGAGGUAUCUUGCAUUUUCUUAAACUUUUUUCAAUUUUACUUCAGUUUAAAUUAUCAUGUGUGUGAACUUUAAAUGCUUCUAACACUGGAUCCCUUUGAGUUAGAGUUUUUCCGUUUAUUUGUGUGUAUAGAUGAAGUCUUUCUCUAUCUUUCUGUGUUUUGUGUUUGGCUCUGUCUUAUGUCUAUGUAGAGUUAUCUUGCAUUUUCUCUAACUUUUUUACUAAUAUUUUGGUCUCAGUUUACCAUAUGGGUGAUUUUAAAUGCUUAUAACUUGGGUUUCAUUUAGGUUAGAGUCAAUCCGUUUGCAUCUAAUCAAAGUUCAAUCCUCGCUCUAUCCAUCCCCACCAUCCACUCGCUCUAAUCCUCGCUCACUCUCUCACUAUCUCACUUUAUUUACCAACUUUGCUGAUAGGUUCUGAUAACAAAUUGAUAUCAAAUUCUCUAUCACACUCUUUCAUGACAUGUAUAAGAUUUUUCCUUCAUUUUUUAUAUACAUAUCCCAAAGUUAAAGGCCCAUAGCUCCACUUCUAAGAAAGAUAAAGCCAAUAUGUUUGUACCUAAUCAAAGCCCAGUCCUUGCUCUAUCCAACCCCACAAUCGGCUUGCUCUAAUCCUUGCUCACUUUCCCACUAUCUUACUUUCUUUCAUGACAUGUAUAAGAUUUUUCCAGAUUUUUUUUCCAUGACCGAAAGUUAAAGGCCUGUAGCUCUAUUCAUAAGAAAGAUAGAGCCAAUCUGUUUGUGCCUGAUCAAAGCCCAAUCCUUGCUCUAUCCAACCCCACUCUCCGCUUGCUCUAAUCCUUGCUCACUUUCUCACUAUCUUACUUUCUUUCAUGACAUGUAUAAGAUUUUUCCAGAUUUUUUUUCCAUGACCCAAAGUUAAAGGCCUAUAGCUCCGCUUCUAAGAAAGAUAGAGCCAAUCCGUUUGUACCUAAUCAAAGCCCAAUCCUUGCUCUAUCCAACCCCACUAUCCGCUUGCUCUAAUCUUCGCUCACUUUCUCGCCAUCUCACUUUCUUUGCAGGUACUGACAGCCAACACGGUGCACACUCAAAGCGAGGAGGACUGGGAUCUGAUCUCCUGACUGGUGGAGUCUGUCGGGGCGGGCACCAUACCCCCCCCCCCCUCAGUACCUCCUUGGGGGGGGCGGGGGAGGAGGAGGAGCUCAGCUUGACCACCGGCCAGCCACAGCCUGCACUGACUCCCCGCGCAGGACAGUGACCUCUCACGACAGGGUUGACACUGGUUAAAGCACUGCGAUCCAGGCUUCACGGCCUGACAGGGCGCCAGUUCGAGCCCGCUCAGGCCGGAUUCUCUCCGUCGACGAGGAGCGGUUACUGUCCCCCCCUGAGCAAGGGGGAUGGGGUGUGUGGUGUGUGAGGUCCUGGCAGUACCCAGAGAUUGACGAUAAAGAGCACUUGCUCAUGUCGGGAGGGUGCCUGCUGGAGAUUACUGGUCCAACACGUGAUCAGGCCGUGGUGAACUCAAGACUCACUGAGGAGCCUCCCAGCAAGAGUGGCUCAGAGGCAGGUCAUUGCUGUGGUGCCUUGAGGACUGCUUAUCAAGUCCAAAAUGUGUUGACUCCCGUGUGAACGCACAAAAGUUGAACUCUUCCCGUGCUGGCACAGUCUGCCGGAGUGAGUGAGGAUUGCAAAGUGUUCUUACAGUGAAGUGUGUAGAGACUGCAACAUGAUGCAUUGUGUCCAACAAACUCUUUGGCUCAUAAUUGACCACCUUUUUACCGAGUGUUAGGUGAGUUUUGAUUUUUUUAGUGCAUUUCUUUAUUGUUAUGUGUCAUUUUGCCCAAAACAUUGGUGUCAUAAAUUCCUGGCAGGCAUUGAAGGAGCUGAGGGACAUGCAGGACACUGUGAAUGCCAGAAAGGCGGGACUUGUCAAGACACAAGACUCUUGACACGCUUGUCUCGUUUCCCGUGAACUCGUCGUAAAGAGCAGAACAAGUAGUUACCUGUGCAAGAAACCACGUGACUUGCCCGGCCCGUGCUGCCCCGCCCGAACCAAGUCACUGAAGCUAGGGUUGACUGAAGAUCUGGGCAGCUUGUGGGUGAUCUUCCGCCACACGGUGACGGUUGUGGAAAUUGUCGGCGUGCUUUGGCGGGACUCAAACCCAGGUCCUCAGGCUCACCACGACUACACACUGUCCAUUCAGCCACCGAGGCCUCCCUCCCAUGGACCUGCUGUUAACCGUUCAGACGCCCGGGUAUGGUAUGGACUGCAUGUUUCCAGUACGGUUUCCUGUUUCGUAAUCUCAUGGAGGCAUUAACGUGUUAUUCUGUACAGUCUAGAAUACAUUAGUUGCAGGUCUCUCGUUGACAGGCCCGGGAAGGAGGGACGCAACGCACCUCACAAGACACAAGACUCCAGUCCAUCCUGAGUAGCCUGGAGAGGGAGUGACCUGCCAUGGGGCAGUCCAGUCCAGCCAGCCACUGUGUGGUGGUAAUAGUGAUGGCACCUUUGGCACAGCGAUAACUUUGCCAUCAUCAGUAGGAACUUAGUUAUAGAGUUACGUGCAUACAAUUUCAUACAGUAAGUUACAUACAGUCAUUGCUUACAGUUUAGUUUUUAUUAGAUGUUUUUGGCAGUUGUAUUAGUUUAUUUUG